AGACAGGUGGUGCAUGGUUGUCGUCAAGCUCGUGUCGUGAGAUGGUUGGGUUAAGUCCCGCAACGAGCGACAACCCUUGUGUUUUAGUUGCAAACAGGUCAAGCUGUGCACUCUAGACAGACUGCCGUGGACAACACGGAGGAAGGUGGGGAUGACGUCAAAUCAUCAUGCCCCUUAUGAUCUGGGCUACACACGUGCUACAAUGGCCGGUACAACGGGCAGCGAAGGAGCGAUCCGGAGCGAAUCCUAAAAAAGCCGGUCCCAGUUCGGAUUGCAGGCUGAAACUCGCCUACAUGAAGUUGGAGUUGCUAGUAAUCGCGAAUCAGAAUGUCGCGGUGAAUGCGUUCCCGGGUCUU
RNAcentral lists this ribosomal RNA (356 nucleotides) under uncultured Fusibacter sp. Its description in RNAcentral is "bacterial SSU rRNA". It matches the Rfam family "Bacterial small subunit ribosomal RNA", at positions 1032 to 1382 of the family's 1533-position model. Lineage: Bacteria; Bacillati; Bacillota; Clostridia; Eubacteriales; Fusibacteraceae. The record is from RNAcentral.